RNAcentral lists this long non-coding RNA (356 nucleotides) under Gossypium barbadense (sea-island cotton). Its description in RNAcentral is "long non-coding RNA (GBAR_LNC021767)". Lineage: Eukaryota; Viridiplantae; Streptophyta; Magnoliopsida; Malvales; Malvaceae. The record is from RNAcentral.
AAACGGAAAAUUCAAAUUGCUUUAGUACGUAUAUAUAGAUUAUUUUUAGAUUUAUUUUGAUAAAAUGAAUUUUGUUUAUGGUUACUGAAUAUUAUUUGACAAAAUUUUAAAGGCGGCUUUGAAGGCUGAAUGGAGAGGAUUGCAACUCGCGAUGUUGAAGGCGUUUGACAGUCGAAAGCAAUUUGUGGCUGCGUGAGCUAAGGUUGUGGAGGAAUAUUACAAGUCUGAAGAAAAGUAGAUGUUUUUAUGUUCAGAAAUGUUUUAAGUUUUGUGAUUAUUAGACAAUUGUUUAAUCAUGGGGGUUAUGUUUGGGAUAAUAUUGCAUGGACAGUGACUUUUUGUUGGUCUGUUAAGCA